Fukomys damarensis (Damara mole-rat) is the source of this 1365-nucleotide long non-coding RNA. RefSeq lists it as uncharacterized. The transcript is spliced from 3 exons. Lineage: Eukaryota; Metazoa; Chordata; Mammalia; Rodentia; Bathyergidae. The record is from RefSeq and is a predicted model, not a curated record.
CACCUGACGCCAGGGCAGGCUGGUCCGGGACUGAACCGGGUGAGAGCGCCUGUCAUGUACCGACCGACCAAAGUUUGUAGGAGCGAUACGAGGACACGAGCAACCAGUCUGAACCACUUUCAGACUCAGGAACUUGUGCACAGUGAAUCAGGCGCACAGAAGUUGGUCCGCCCGCCGUUGGAGGUGCCGCCAUAAAGACGGGCCCACUAGACAGGCACUUCUCAGAUGGAGCCGGGGCACCCAACACAUAGGCCAAGAUUGAAGCGGUUACCCAGAAGUGGGGCCGCACUCAGGGCCUGCACACUUUUACACAGAAAGGCAGGUACAACCAACAGAUGCCCAGCGACAGAAGAUAGAAACCAGGCAAGGCAGGAACACUGGCACCGUGUGAGAACUGUACUAUUGGCUACCCUGCAAAACUCACCCACCCCACCAGCACCCACCCCUCCACGAGGGUGCCUGUACUUCCCAGCAACCCCAGGCUGUGGAGAGAGGGAGCCCACCACCCCCUUGUCAACUCCAGACUGAUGACAGCGACCACCUGCUGUGCUGUCAGUCACACCAGCACGCACUGGACCCUCGCCACUCCUACAGGUGCUGGAUUGUCACUGCCAGCUUUGGGCCUCUCUGGCCAGGAUCGGCUGGGGGCUCCACCUGUGCUCCCAGGCCCCCUGGUGAGUUAGAGCAGCAGGACGGAGUGAUGAAUCACAAGGCUCCUGCCCUCCUGGAAUGAGCUGUGGUCACUCUCUCUUCCGGCUUGUGAUAGUGGCUCCUUCCUGAGAAGCUGACUCUCUUCUGUAGAACCCAGGGCUGUGCUGGGGAACUCCACUUACGGCUGCAUUUGGCAAACCUUGGCCCCGUCCCCAGAGCCCUCAUCCACUCUACCUCUUGCACUUCCUUCUCAGACCUCCACUCCUCAUUUCCUUCCUGGAGGCUGCCCGCCUUCCAGCUCCCUGCCUGUGGCCAGCCAGUGUGGGUGAACACUAGGAAACUGCAGGGCCUGUCACCCCUCAGGUGGAUAGCGGAGGCCGAAGGGAAGGUCCCAGAAAUGAAUUUGGGCAGCCUUCCUGGGGAGGACACGGGAACCCGGCCACCUCUAUGAGACGUCUGGGAGAGAGCUCCCUAAGUAGAGUAGCUGCAGAGGUGACAGAUUCAGCAAGGCGUCCUGGGAGACUGAGAACUAUGUCCUUCCCAGGGUUUGAGGCUUUUUGUGUAUUUAUGCCUCUUUCCUUUUUUGGUUUUGGAGAUUGAACCCAGCGCCUUUGAGCUACAUCCCUAGACCUUUAAUUUUUUCCCCCCAGUUUAUAACAGGUUCUAAAUUGUCCAGAUUGGAUUUUAACUUGUUUUGUUUUUCCUUAUUCAUUU